GAGCGCCCCGCAAGGGGAGCGGCAGACGGGAGAGUAACACGUGGGAACGUACCCUUCGGUUCGGAACAACCCCAGGGAAACUUGGGCUAAUACCGGAUACGUCCGAAAGGAGAAAGAUUCAUCGCCGAAGGAUCGGCCCGCGUCUGAUUAGCUUGUUGGUGAGGUAACGGCUCACCAAGGCGACGAUCAGUAGCUGGUCUGAGAGGAUGAUCAGCCUCACUGGGACUGAGACACGGCCCAGACUCCUACGGGAGGCAGCAGUGGGGAAUAUUGGACAAUGGGCGCAAGCCUGAUCCAGCCAUGCCGCGUGGGUGAUGAAGGCCCUAGGGUUGUAAAGCCCUUUCGGCGGGGAAGAUAAUGACGGUACCCGCAGAAGAAGCCCCGGCUAACUUCGUG
RNAcentral lists this ribosomal RNA (396 nucleotides) under uncultured bacterium. RNAcentral describes it as "bacterial SSU rRNA". It matches the Rfam family "Bacterial small subunit ribosomal RNA", at positions 64 to 507 of the family's 1533-position model. The record is from RNAcentral.